This 76-nucleotide transfer RNA is filed under the name Sphingobacteriales bacterium. RNAcentral describes it as "tRNA-His". It matches the Rfam family "tRNA". Rfam says of the family: Transfer RNA (tRNA) molecules are approximately 80 nucleotides in length. Their secondary structure includes four short double-helical elements and three loops (D, anti-codon, and T loops). Further hydrogen bonds mediate the characteristic L-shaped molecular structure. tRNAs have two regions of fundamental functional importance: the anti-codon, which is responsible for specific mRNA codon recognition, and the 3' end, to which the tRNAs corresponding amino acid is attached (by aminoacyl-tRNA synthetases). tRNAs cope with the degeneracy of the genetic code in two manners: having more than one tRNA (with a specific anti-codon) for a particular amino acid; and 'wobble' base-pairing, i.e. permitting non-standard base-pairing at the 3rd anti-codon position. RNAcentral also lists the same sequence under 1 other name. The record is from RNAcentral. Lineage: Bacteria; Pseudomonadati; Bacteroidota; Sphingobacteriia; Sphingobacteriales.
GGUGCUUAUAGCUCAGUCGGUUAGAGUAGCGGUUUGUGGUACCGUUGGUCGUGGGUUCGAAUCCCAUUAGGCACCC